AUUGCACGUUCAAGUCCUAUUAUGUCUUGAAUGAUCGACACGGGGGGGGCUAUAUGAAAUCUCUCAUAAACCUGAAGUAUUGGCUUAAUAUUCCAUGCUUCGGAUCCUGUCGGGAGAAACAUUU
Molecule: small nucleolar RNA, 124 nt
Filed under: Carassius auratus (goldfish)
Lineage: Eukaryota; Metazoa; Chordata; Actinopteri; Cypriniformes; Cyprinidae
Description: Small nucleolar RNA SNORA26 (ENSCARG00000053041.1)
Rfam family: Small nucleolar RNA SNORA26
About the family: The snoRNA HBI-6 belong to the H/ACA family of snoRNAs, guiding the pseudouridylation of position U4522 if the 28S rRNA. HBI-6 is the human orthologue of mouse MBI-6 snoRNA.
Source: RNAcentral